GGGAUCAUUCUUAAUAUUUCUAUCUCUCACAUAGAAUAUUUCCUCCAGAUCCUCUGUAAGAAUAUUUAAGUACCUUUCAGGAGGAUGAAAAAUCUUACUAGAUCUAUGAGGUGGAGGAGGUACUACAUCAACUAACUCACUAAUGGAUUCAAGCUCUUGGACUCGAUGCUCUUCAAAAAUCUUUUCUUCGAGCUCAAUCUUCCUCCCACUGCCUCCAUCUUGAAAAAAAAAAUUAAUAAAAUGGCAUGAUGACUCAUAAUCACAUUAUGAUCC
This 273-nucleotide long non-coding RNA is filed under the name Elaeis guineensis (African oil palm). Its description in RNAcentral is "long non-coding RNA (EGUI_LNC033956)". Lineage: Eukaryota; Viridiplantae; Streptophyta; Magnoliopsida; Arecales; Arecaceae. The record is from RNAcentral.